CUAAGGCUCCAGAGGAAGCCACGGCUAACUCUGUGCCAGCAGCCGCGGUAAUACAGAGGCGGCAAGCGUUGUUCGGAAUUAUUGGGCGUAAGGAGCACGUAGGCGGCCUUGCAAGUCAGUUGUGAAAGCCUUCCGCUUAACGGAAGAAUGCCAGCUGAUACUACAGGGCUUGAGUACGGGAGGGGAGAGUGGAACUUCUGGUGGAGCGGUGAAAUGCGUAGAUAUCAGAAGGAACGCCGGCGGCGAAAGCGACUCUCUGGCCCGAAACUGACGCUGAGUGUGCGAAAGCUAGGGGAGCAAACGGGAUUAGAUACCCCGGUAGUCCUAGCCGUAAA
RNAcentral lists this ribosomal RNA (335 nucleotides) under uncultured Planctomycetales bacterium. Its description in RNAcentral is "bacterial SSU rRNA". It matches the Rfam family "Bacterial small subunit ribosomal RNA", at positions 473 to 806 of the family's 1533-position model. Lineage: Bacteria; Pseudomonadati; Planctomycetota; Planctomycetia; Planctomycetales. The record is from RNAcentral.